This 261-nucleotide ribosomal RNA is filed under the name uncultured prokaryote. RNAcentral's name for it is "partial 16S ribosomal RNA". It matches the Rfam family "Bacterial small subunit ribosomal RNA", at positions 524 to 784 of the family's 1533-position model. The record is from RNAcentral.
UACGGAGGAUCCGAGCGUUAUCCGGAUUUAUUGGGUUUAAAGGGUGCGCAGGCGGGAAAUUAAGUCGGCGGUGAAAUUUUGCAGCUCAACUGUAAAAGUGCCAUCGAUACUGGUUUUCUUGAGUGUGGAUGAAGUAGGCGGAAUUUGUGGUGUAGCGGUGAAAUGCAUAGAUAUCACGAGGAACUCCGAUUGCGCAGGCAGCUUACUAGGCCAUAACUGACGCUCAGGCACGAAGGAGUGGGGAUCAAACAGGAUUAGAUA